AACGAACGCUGGCGGCAUGCCUAACACAUGCAAGUCGAACGAGACCUUCGGGUCUAGUGGCGCACUGUUGCGUACCGCGUGGUAACCUGCCCUUAGGUUCGGAAUAACUCCCCGAAAGGGGUGCUAAUACCGGAUAAUAUCUUCGGACCAAAGAUUUAUAGCGUUUGGAUGGGCCCGCGUUGGUUUAGCUAGUUGGUAGGGUAAAAGCCUACCAAGGCGACGAUCGAUAGCUGGUCUGAGAGGAUGAUCAGCCACACUGGCGCUGAGACACGGUCCAGAAUCCUACGGGAGGCAGGAGUGGGGAAUAUAGGAAAAUGGGGGAAAGGCUGAUCCAGCUAUGGCGCGUGAGUGAUGAAGGCAGUAGGGUUGUAAAGCUCUUUUACACGGGAUGAUAAUGACAGUACCUGGAGAAUAAGCACCGGCUAACUACGUG
Molecule: ribosomal RNA, 433 nt
Filed under: uncultured bacterium
Lineage: Bacteria
Description: partial 16S ribosomal RNA
Rfam family: Bacterial small subunit ribosomal RNA
Source: RNAcentral